Molecule: ribosomal RNA, 451 nt
Filed under: uncultured bacterium
Lineage: Bacteria
Description: partial 16S ribosomal RNA
Rfam family: Bacterial small subunit ribosomal RNA
Source: RNAcentral
GUGGGGAAUAUUGGACAAUGGGGGGAACCCUGAUCCAGCCAUGCCGCGUGUGUGAAGAAGGCCUUUUGGUUGUAAAGCACUUUAAGCGAGGAGGAGGCUACCGAGAUUAAUACUCUUGGAUAGUGGACGUUACUCGCAGAAUAAGCACCGGCUAACUCUGUGCCAGCAGCCGCGGUAAUACAGAGGGUGCGAGCGUUAAUCGGAUUUACUGGGCGUAAAGCGUGCGUAGGCGGCUUUUUAAGUCGGAUGUGGAAUCCCCGAGCUUAACGUGGGAAGUGCAUUCGAUACUGGGAAGCUAGAGUAUGGGAGAGGAUGGUAGAAUUCCAGGUGUAGCGGUGAAAUGCGUAGAGAUCUGGAGGAAUACCGAUGGCGAAGGCAGCCAUCUGGCCUAAUACUGACGCUGAGGUACGAAAGCAUGGGGAGCAAACAGGAUUAGAAACCCGGGUAGUCC